This 72-nucleotide transfer RNA is filed under the name Dactylosporangium sp. Its description in RNAcentral is "tRNA-Arg". It matches the Rfam family "tRNA". From Rfam's summary of the family: Transfer RNA (tRNA) molecules are approximately 80 nucleotides in length. Their secondary structure includes four short double-helical elements and three loops (D, anti-codon, and T loops). Further hydrogen bonds mediate the characteristic L-shaped molecular structure. tRNAs have two regions of fundamental functional importance: the anti-codon, which is responsible for specific mRNA codon recognition, and the 3' end, to which the tRNAs corresponding amino acid is attached (by aminoacyl-tRNA synthetases). tRNAs cope with the degeneracy of the genetic code in two manners: having more than one tRNA (with a specific anti-codon) for a particular amino acid; and 'wobble' base-pairing, i.e. permitting non-standard base-pairing at the 3rd anti-codon position. The record is from RNAcentral. Lineage: Bacteria; Bacillati; Actinomycetota; Actinomycetes; Micromonosporales; Micromonosporaceae.
UCCCCGUAGCUCAGCGGACAGAGCACCAGGUUGCGAACCUGGGGGCCGCUGGUUCGAUUCCAGCCGGGGACA